Molecule: ribosomal RNA, 474 nt
Filed under: uncultured bacterium
Lineage: Bacteria
Description: bacterial SSU rRNA
Rfam family: Bacterial small subunit ribosomal RNA
Source: RNAcentral
AGCAAUACAGGGUGUGGGCGCGUGGCGAACGGGUGCGUAACACGUGGAUAACCUUCCUUCAGGUGGGGAAUAACCCAGUGAAAAUUGGGCUAAUACCGCAUAACAUGACGAUGCCACAUGGUGUUGUCUUCAAAGCCGCAAGGCGCCAGAAGAGGGAUCCGCGGCCGAUUAGCUUGUUGGCGAGGUAAUGGCUCACCAAGGCUUUGAUCGGUAGCCGGACUGAGAGGUUGGCCGGCCACACUGGAACUGAGACACGGUCCAGACUCCUACGGGAGGCAGCAGUGGGGAAUCUUGCACAAUGGACGAAAGUCUGAUGCAGCAACGCCGCGUGGGGGAUGAAGCUUUUCGGAGUGUAAACCCCUUUCGACCCGGAAGAAUGCCCGCAAGGGUUUGACGGUACGGGUAUAAGAAGCCCCGGCUAACUACGUGCCAGCAGCCGCGGUAAUACGUAGGGGGCCAGCGUUGCUCGGAAUU